AACGAACGCUGGCGGCGCGCCUAACACAUGCAAGUCGAACGAGAAGGCGUAGCAAUACGCUUGUAGAGUGGCGAACGGGUGAGUAAUACGUGGGUGACCUACCCUCGAGUGGGGAAUAACCCGCCGAAAGGCGGGCUAAUGCCGCGUACGCUUCCGUCCUCACGGGGACGGAAGGAAAGCUGUACCGUGGGUACGGCGCUCAAGGAUGGGCUCACGUCCUAUCAGCUUGUUGGUAGGGUAACGGCCACCAAGGCUACGACGGGUAGCUGGUCUGAGAGGACGAUCAGCCACACUGGCACUGACACACGGGCCAGACUCCUACGGGAGGCAGCAGUGGGGAAUUUUGGGCAAUGGGCGCAAGCCUGACCCAGCAACGCCGCGUGAGGGAGGAAAUCCUUCGGGAUGUAAACCUCACAAGCAAGGGAAGAGAGCUCAGGACCAAAUAAGUCCUGAGUCCGACGGUACCUUGCGUAAGCCACGGCUAACUACGUGCCAGCCGCCGCGGUAAC
RNAcentral lists this ribosomal RNA (509 nucleotides) under uncultured bacterium. RNAcentral's name for it is "bacterial SSU rRNA". It matches the Rfam family "Bacterial small subunit ribosomal RNA", at positions 29 to 524 of the family's 1533-position model. The record is from RNAcentral.